GGGGUUGUGGCUCAGCGGUAGAGCGCUCGCUAGCAUGUGAGAGGUCCUGGGUUCAAUCCUCAGCACCACA
This 70-nucleotide transfer RNA is filed under the name Marmota monax (woodchuck). Its description in RNAcentral is "tRNA.Undet". It matches the Rfam family "tRNA". From Rfam's summary of the family: Transfer RNA (tRNA) molecules are approximately 80 nucleotides in length. Lineage: Eukaryota; Metazoa; Chordata; Mammalia; Rodentia; Sciuridae. The record is from RNAcentral.